This 426-nucleotide ribosomal RNA is filed under the name Streptomyces sp. RNAcentral's name for it is "bacterial SSU rRNA". It matches the Rfam family "Bacterial small subunit ribosomal RNA", at positions 19 to 450 of the family's 1533-position model. The record is from RNAcentral. Lineage: Bacteria; Bacillati; Actinomycetota; Actinomycetes; Kitasatosporales; Streptomycetaceae.
CCGGCUCAGGACGAACGCUGGCGGCGUGCUUAACACAUGCAAGUCGAACGAUGAAGCCCUUCGGGGUGGAUUAGUGGCGAACGGGUGAGUAACACGUGGGCAAUCUGCCCUUCACUCUGGGACAAGCCCUGGAAACGGGGUCUAAUACCGGAUAACACCUGCCCGGGCAUCCGGGUGGGUUAAAAGCUCCGGCGGUGAAGGAUGAGCCCGCGGCCUAUCAGCUUGUUGGUGAGGUAGUGGCUCACCAAGGCGACGACGGGUAGCCGGCCUGAGAGGGCGACCGGCCACACUGGGACUGAGACACGGCCCAGACUCCUACGGGAGGCAGCAGUGGGGAAUAUUGCACAAUGGGCGAAAGCCUGAUGCAGCGACGCCGCGUGAGGGAUGACGGCCUUCGGGUUGUAAACCUCUUCAGCAGGGAAGAGC